Molecule: transfer RNA, 65 nt
Filed under: Dipodomys ordii (Ord's kangaroo rat)
Lineage: Eukaryota; Metazoa; Chordata; Mammalia; Rodentia; Heteromyidae
Rfam family: tRNA
About the family: Transfer RNA (tRNA) molecules are approximately 80 nucleotides in length. Their secondary structure includes four short double-helical elements and three loops (D, anti-codon, and T loops).
Source: Rfam by way of RNAcentral
GGUGGCUCAGUAGCAGAGUGCUUGCCUUGCAUGCAUGAGGUCCUGGGUUCGAUUCCUCAGCACCA